AGAUUAUCAGGAUGAGUAUCAGGACCGUGUUUCUGCGAUAGUGACCGCGGUGCAAAGAACACGGCAGAGCGCCGAGACCCUGCUAGCGUGCCAGGCGAAGGUGGUGCGCCUGGAGCAGGCCUUGCAGGACGUCAGUGCGCGUCAUCAGCUGGAGAGGCAGAGAAGGAAGGCCCUGCACAACAGCCUGGUGGAGCUGAGAGGAAAUAUCAGAGUUCACUGUCGGAUUCGUCCUUUGUUGCCUUUUGAUAGUGAAUCCGAUGAUCCAGUUUUGCAGAGCAGCUCCAUCUCUAGAGAAGUGGCCCAUGCUGUUGAUGACGAAACAGUUCUGGUGAAAUGUGAUCGUCCUGGCCACCCUCUGAUUAAUAAGACAUAUCAUUUUGAAAGG
Non-coding RNA from Macaca mulatta (Rhesus monkey), 385 nucleotides. The record is from RefSeq and is a predicted model, not a curated record. Lineage: Eukaryota; Metazoa; Chordata; Mammalia; Primates; Cercopithecidae.